UGGGGAAUUUUGGACAAUGGGGGAAACCCUGAUCCAGCCAUCCCGCGUGUGCGAUGAAGGCCUUCGGGUUGUAAAGCACUUUUGGCAGGAAAGAAACGUCAUGGGUUAAUACCCCGUGAAACUGACGGUACCUGCAGAAUAAGCACCGGCUAACUACGUGCCAGCAGCCGCGGUAAUACGUAGGGUGCAAGCGUUAAUCGGAAUUACUGGGCGUAAAGCGUGCGCAGGCGGUUCGGAAAGAAAGAUGUGAAAUCCCAGAGCUCAACUUUGGAACUGCAUUUUUAACUACCGGGCUAAGGUGUGUCAGAGGGAGGUGGAAUUCCGCGUGUAGCAGUGAAAUGCGUAGAUAUGCGGAGGAACACCGAUGGCGAAGGCAGCCUCCUGGGAUAACACUGACGCUCAUGCACGAAAGCGUGGGGAGCAAACAGG
This 429-nucleotide ribosomal RNA is filed under the name Acidobacteriota bacterium. Its description in RNAcentral is "Acidobacteria bacterium partial 16S ribosomal RNA". It matches the Rfam family "Bacterial small subunit ribosomal RNA", at positions 355 to 776 of the family's 1533-position model. Lineage: Bacteria; Pseudomonadati; Acidobacteriota. The record is from RNAcentral.